This 45-nucleotide non-coding RNA is filed under the name Trypanosoma vivax. Lineage: Eukaryota; Euglenozoa; Kinetoplastea; Trypanosomatida; Trypanosomatidae. The record is from RNAcentral.
GGACUUGUAUAAUAACAUAAAACAGACGAAAUGGGAUGUAGGCAA